RNA transcript from Triticum aestivum (bread wheat), 2983 nucleotides. RefSeq lists it as uncharacterized. The record is from RefSeq and is a predicted model, not a curated record. The transcript has 5 exons. NCBI's taxonomy places the organism in Eukaryota, Viridiplantae, Streptophyta, Magnoliopsida, Poales, Poaceae.
CUCAGCCAAACCCCAGGCACCAUGCACAUACAGGCAUACAGCGCGCUGGCCCUCUACCCGACACCCAGCCGCCGGCCGCCCCCGUCCCGGCCUCUGCCUGCCUCGCGGCCUCGCGGGACGCCGGUCGCCGGCCGCCCAGGAGUCUCCUCUGCUCCUGGCCUCCUGCCUCCCCAUUGCGCCCUCGCCCUGCCCGGCGCUCGGCGCCAGCCUUGCCACCGCCCCCGGCCGCGACCCUGCCCUGUCCCGGCCGCGUGGCGCCCCUGCAAGCCGGCGGCGCCGCCCAGUCCGCACUACGGCACUCGGCUCGGCCUGAUUUGAGGUCCAGCCAUGCUUAAUUAAACAGAAUUCAUGUUGUAUUAUGGGUCUUAAUUGGAUUGAGGGGCUGUAAUAAGGUUGUGUAUUUAGUUUCAUGCUCACAGCAUCUUCACUCAAAUGGCCAGUAGCUUACGCUACUGUUGGAAAGGCGUAUAAUUUACGCAUGCUUUCAAACAGAGUUGGAAAGGAGUACCAAACUACCCAUCUAUUCCUUCCCUUUUCUGCCAUGAGUUUAGUCAAGAGCAAGUUGAGAAAUAAGAUGGGCGAUAGUCUUUUGGAUGAUUGUCUAGUCACAUACAUUGAGAGGGAUGCUUUCUCCGAGGUGAAUGAAGAUGAUAUAAUUGACACCUUCAUGGCAAUGCAAAAGCGUGAGCCAGAAACAUAGUCUUUUUGAACUUCUCAAGGAAGCAAGUGUGCUCUGAAGUCCGAACUGCUGAAUCUCUUGUCAACUCCAGCAAACUAGCAGAGCCUUCUAUCACCAAAUAAAAGGGUUGUGAUGUCGCUACGUCAGCUACUGGGAUGGUCAGAUGGAGAGGUGAUGCGGCCGGAGUCAAAGCCGUGUUCCCGACUGAUGCGCCACACUGCUGGUAUCUUCUCAGUUGGUGGUGGCCUUGCUUUCUGGGUGCUUUCCCGCCUUCACUAUGGUCCAAGGAUAACGGUUCCAAGGAGUCUCAGGUGGGCAUCCUGUGGAGCGAUGGGCACGAGCGCGACGGCAGCCAUGCUUGUGCGGCUCUUCAGCCCGGAGUGUGAACCACAGAACAUAGCAGCUUUCGACAGACCUGAAUACAAGCCUGCAUAGUGUCAUGGAAAUCCAGGGCCAGGUCUGCCAAGCCCUAUGCGAGUUUGCUGAUUCGGCCCUUGGUGAUGCCUUACAAGAUGUUUAUGCAUAAAUGUACCUCCCCUGAAAUUGGACACCUCUAUGUUUCCUACACUCUGGCCGCCGUCAUUUUCUUCUGAAACUAGGAGCUUUUUGCAUCAAAUCUGGAGCUGGUACCUUUUGCAUCAAAUUUGGUUUCCAAAGUGGGGUAGUGAUGUAUUGCUGGACACAUUUUGAGUGAUGAUAAGUUGCACUCAGUUAACCUAAUGACUUCCGUGAGAUACAUAAACAUACUACGAUUUGACCCGAUGAUGUGCGGUAAUAAUAGGCGCUGGCCUUCAGUGUUUAAGCCUUGGUUACUACUGUACAGUAUCUUAUUUUCCAACUGCUGAAGGCAAGCCCGUUAAUAAGAUCUGUUUGUUCAAAAAGAAAAAAAAGGCAAGCCCGUUUACAACUGUACGUCUAGGACAAGGAUCCGAGUUGAUGCUUAUCUUUUGGCAGUUAUUUUUGGCCUGUUUCUUUACAGUUAAAUCCUGCUAAUUUUUAUCGACAGUUACUUGCUUCUAAUUAAUCCUGGAUAUUUUAAGAACUAGAAGUAGACUCGGUGUUGGUAUCGGACUUUGUACAAGUCUACAUAUAGCAUAUUCCGUCGUCGGAACGUCGUAGUUGUUCAGAAGCUCAUCAAAUCUUUCCUUCGUUUCGCGUCGCAGCAACGAGAGACGCUCUCGACGUCGCAAUGCAGCUGGUGCUGUGUGACUGCUGCCCGCCGUGCGCGCCGGACCCGCGGGCGCGGACGGCGGCCACUACGAGGAGCUGCCCGUGUCGGUGCCGCCGCACGUGCCGCGGGGGCUGAGCAGGGACGAGGCGCCCGGGCCCGGGCUGGACCAAUGGGAGGAGGGAGCGUACGCGGAGGCCGUGGAGCAGCUGGCCGCGCCGCCGCCUGAGAUCACAGAGACGGGCGCCGGAGACGCGUGGCCGUGGCUACGGGCGGCUUUCGCGUCGGUCUACGAGAUGGUGGUGGCGCCCGUGUCGUCCUGCGGCCGCUCGUGACGAAAGUGAAGCCGGUCGUGCCUCGUGCGUGCGCGCGUUGGGUGCAGAGAUCGCGAACUCUCGAUGCGCGGCACGGGCCAGAAGCUGCUGUUUCUCCGUGAGAUAUUUCCAGCGGACACGAUAACGAUACGCCUGGCCCCGCGCUUUGCGUCGGCGUGCAGGCGUCUCGCUUACACCGCACGUGUUGCAAUCGCAUGUUUCAAUCCGUGUCGUCUCGGAGCCGAGAAAGAAGAAUCUAUGCUCCAAGUCGACGAAGCAUGGGCAUCUCGAGCUCUCCGGGUCGAAAGGAUGCUCAUCUUCAUACGACCUCCUGCGACGAUCGUACGGGGAACAACUCCAAAGGGAGAGCGCGCUGGCCGGACUGGACUCCCGAGCACCUUGGUCGAUCCAGGAGGACUUCACAUCGGGAAUCUGAUAGCUAGCAUUAUGCAACACACCUAAUCAGUGGCGGAGCCAGGUAGAAACUGCUAAGGGGCCAAGGCUAAAACAUGAGUGUUUUGACGGUGCAAAAUGCCAGGUAGAUCACUUAACACCCUUAUAUUUCUUUACAGAGGGUGUAUCUCAUCUAAGCUCUCCCUCAAAAAAUUCCUUCACGUUCAAAGUUGAGGCAACUAGUGUGGCAAAUUAGGCUGGCAUGGAGAGAUUUCGGCCACAAGUGAACAGCUGCCAAGGUCGGUGAUCCGCUUUUCAUGAUUUGCCAAUUGUUGUACAUAUAUAGCUACCAGGUUUAAAAAAUCAUUAAAAAUUUACAAACAAACACUAGUAGAAAAAUGGGCUUUCGUUCAGGCCUGGCCAGCCCAU